RNAcentral lists this ribosomal RNA (495 nucleotides) under uncultured bacterium. RNAcentral's name for it is "partial 16S ribosomal RNA". It matches the Rfam family "Bacterial small subunit ribosomal RNA", at positions 28 to 507 of the family's 1533-position model. The record is from RNAcentral.
GACGAACGCUGGCGGCGUGCCUAAUACAUGCAAGUAGAACGCUGAAGGAGGAGCUUGCUUCUCUGGAUGAGUUGCGAACGGGUGAGUAACGCGUAGGUAACCUGCCUGGUAGCGGGGGAUAACUAUUGGAAACGAUAGCUAAUACCGCAUAAUAGUAGAUGUUGCAUGACAUUUGCUUAAAAGGUGCAAUUGCAUCACUACCAGAUGGACCUGCGUUGUAUUAGCUAGUUGGUGAGGUAACGGCUCACCAAGGCAACGAUACAUAGCCGACCUGAGAGGGUGAUCGGCCACACUGGGACUGAGACACGGCCCAGACUCCUACGGGAGGCAGCAGUAGGGAAUCUUCGGCAAUGGACGGAAGUCUGACUGAGCAACGCCGCGUGAGUGAAGAAGGUUUUCGGAUCGUAAAGCUCUGUUGUAAGAGAAGAACGAGUGUGAGAGUGGAAAGUUCACACUGUGACGGUAUCUUACCAGAAAGGGACGGCUAACUACGUG